This is a long non-coding RNA of Hyaena hyaena (striped hyena), 920 nucleotides long. RefSeq lists it as uncharacterized. The record is from RefSeq and is a predicted model, not a curated record. Lineage: Eukaryota; Metazoa; Chordata; Mammalia; Carnivora; Hyaenidae. The transcript is spliced from 5 exons.
CGGAGGCUUAACCGUCUGAGCCACCCAGGCGCCCCAAGAACAGAUACUACUACUAAGCCCUCAAGAAGAGCAGUACCCAGGAAGUGGUUGUCUUGAAGGAGUCCCCACUUUCUUACCUGCCAUGCUGACUACCUUCUGGGAAUAAGGUCUUCUGAAACAGGACCGAGUUCAGAACGAGAAAUGAAAAGAAGACCCGCCACGUGUAUUUGUCCAUCAGGCCACUAUUAGAGUCCUAUUUCCAAGGGAGACAAAUUUACUUCUGGCACCUGAAGUUGCUUAUCUGGUUCCUUAGAGCUGCAGCAUUGAAUUCACUCCCAGACAAUGACAAGAGUUCCACAAACAAUGCCAGUCCGUGGAACCUAAUAUGCAAGAGAGGAUUUGGGUGGUUCAAGGUGAAAUUAAAUCACCUGCAUGGUUGGUUACUUUGACCUUCUUCACAUUGGAGGCUCUCCUUGUGUGUUUGAGGAUCCUCGGUUGUUCAGUAGUCAAAGCCCUAAAAGGCUGAUUGGAAGCUCUAAGAUUUGUGAUGGUUCCUCAGAAGGACCUAACCUUGUGGACGCCUUGCUCUUGAACUUCUAGCCACAAGGACUGUGAGAGAUAAGCCCACCAACUGGUGGUACUUUGUGUGUCAUCCCUAGAAAAUGAAUACAACGGCCGUGCAUUACAAUGUCUGUGUUAUAUUAAAUGCAUGCAUUACAAUAUGUUUUUUCGCAUUAGAAGGGGAAGGUUUCACAUGUAGUCAUUCUACCAACUUAACCAGAAGUCUGUUGCGUGACCUGGUUUACUUUCUGUUUGCCUAUUCUGUACUCUUUUGGGCCCAGGGCUUUUGUUAAAUUCUCCUUCGUAGCUACAGUGCCUGGUCUCUAGAAAUUGUUCAAUAAAUUUUUUUGUUUUUUUUAAUGUUUAUCUAUUUUUGAGAG